CAUUAUAAAAUCAUUAGGAUUCAAAUAUUUAAUGAUUUUAUUAUAAUGCUCCUUUACAUGUGCAGAAUAUUAAUAUGUGCAUCAUUAAAAUUUACCCAGGACUAAAUGUUUAAUUUCUUUAAAAAUUAUUCAGUCAGUGUUGUGAAUUCUCUUCUUUUUGGCGCAAGUCGCGCAUGCGCAGCAUCUCGAGCGCGGCUUCUCAGACACGGGCGCACUGAGCGUAGACAUCGGCGCACAAAUUGCGCAGUCGAGGCGCAGUGGUACUCUCAAUGCAUUACAGGUGAUGCCAUGUUAGAGCGCAGGAAAAAGUUAGUGAAGCUAAACUACCUCGCACACAUGACCCUGUGUGUAAUGUUAUUCUUGCGCAAUAAAUGGUUAAACUCCCUGA
Tachysurus fulvidraco (yellow catfish) is the source of this 388-nucleotide long non-coding RNA. RefSeq lists it as uncharacterized. The transcript has 2 exons. The record is from RefSeq and is a predicted model, not a curated record. NCBI's taxonomy places the organism in Eukaryota, Metazoa, Chordata, Actinopteri, Siluriformes, Bagridae.